CUUAUUUUACCUAGUCAUGGCCCCAAAGCAGAAGAGUAGUGACGCUGGUAAUUCGGAUAUGCCGAAGACAAGCCGUAAAGUGAAAAGGGGCAAGUUCUCGACUUAAUAAGAAAAGAAAAAAAUUGUAUGCUGAGGUUGCUAAGACCUACGGUAAGAACGCUGGUAAUUCGGAUAUGCCGAAGACAAGCCGUAAAGUGAAAAGGAGCAAGUUCUCGACUUAAUAAGAAAAGAAAAAAAUUGUAUGCUGAGGUUGCCAAGACCUACGGGUACCUAAUAUGCUAAUAUCCUGUGGAGAGAAGCUGACUGUUGGACUUUAAGUGUAUGUGCUCGAUUUAGGAACUGCUGAUGGUCAAAAUGUAAUUUAAGAAGACAACAAAUAUUUGCACAGGUAUGUGAGCCCAGCUUAUAAGACAUCCAGCUAACAAGGUUUUUCAUAUUCUAAAUAAAGUGAAUGAUAGGAAAAAGAGUAAC
This is a long non-coding RNA of Orcinus orca (killer whale), 471 nucleotides long. RefSeq lists it as uncharacterized. The transcript is spliced from 3 exons. The record is from RefSeq and is a predicted model, not a curated record. Lineage: Eukaryota; Metazoa; Chordata; Mammalia; Artiodactyla; Delphinidae.